GAUGAACGCUGGCGGCGUGCUUAACACAUGCAAGUCGAACGGAAAGGCCCAAGCUUGCUUGGGUACUCGAGUGGCGAACGGGUGAGUAACACGUGGGUGAUCUGCCCUGCACUUCGGGAUAAGCCUGGGAAACUGGGUCUAAUACCGGAUAGGACGAUGGUUUGGAUGCCAUUGUGGAAAGUUUUUUCGGUGUGGGAUGAGCUCGCGGCCUAUCAGCUUGUUGGUGGGGUAAUGGCCUACCAAGGCGUCGACGGGUAGCCGGCCUGAGAGGGUGUACGGCCACAUUGGGACUGAGAUACGGCCCAGACUCCUACGGGAGGCAGCAGUGGGGAAUAUUGCACAAUGGGCGCAAGCCUGAUGCAGCGACGCCGCGUGGGGGAUGACGGCCUUCGGGUUGUAAACUUCUUUCGCUAGGGACGAAGCGUUUUUGUGACGGUACCUGGAGAAGAAGCACCGGCUAACUACGUG
RNAcentral lists this ribosomal RNA (468 nucleotides) under uncultured bacterium. Its description in RNAcentral is "partial 16S ribosomal RNA". It matches the Rfam family "Bacterial small subunit ribosomal RNA", at positions 28 to 507 of the family's 1533-position model. The record is from RNAcentral.